UACAGAGGGGGCAAGCGUUGUUCGGAAUUACUGGGCGUAAAGGGCUCGUAGGUGGCCAACUAAGUCAGACGUGAAAUCCCUCGGCUUAACCGGGGAACUGCGUCUGAUACUGGUUGGCUUGAGUUUGGGAGAGGGAUGCGGAAUUCCAGGUGUAGCGGUGAAAUGCGUAGAUAUCUGGAGGAACACCGGUGGCGAAGGCGGCAUCCUGGACCAACACUGACGCUGAGGAGCGAAAGCCAGGGGAGCAAACGGG
Molecule: ribosomal RNA, 253 nt
Filed under: uncultured bacterium
Lineage: Bacteria
Description: partial 16S ribosomal RNA
Rfam family: Bacterial small subunit ribosomal RNA
Source: RNAcentral